RNAcentral lists this ribosomal RNA (930 nucleotides) under Prymnesium parvum. RNAcentral's name for it is "partial Bacterial large subunit ribosomal RNA". It matches the Rfam family "Bacterial large subunit ribosomal RNA", at positions 1060 to 1976 of the family's 2925-position model. The record is from RNAcentral. Lineage: Eukaryota; Haptophyta; Prymnesiales; Prymnesiaceae.
UAAGUGGGAAACGAUGUGGGAAGGCUCAGACAGCUAGGAGGUUGGCUUAGAAGCAGCCAUCCUUUAAAGAAAGCGUAAUAGCUCACUAGUCGAGUCGGCCUGCGCGGAAGAUAUAACGGGGCUAAAUCAGGUACCGAAGCUACGGGUUCAUCCUUAUGGAUGAGCGGUAGAGGAGCGUCGUGUAAGCCAAUGAAGGUGGAUUGAGAAGUCUGCUGGAGGUAUCACGAGUGCGAAUGCUGACAUGAGUAACGAUAAGGGGAGUGAAAAACUCCCCCGCCGGAAGACCAAGGUUUUCUGUUCUACGUUAAUCGGAGCAGAGUGAGUCGGCCCCUAAGGCGAGGCGGAAACGCGUAGUCGAUGGGAAACGGGUUAAUAUUCCCGUACCGGAUGUGGUUGCGAUGGGGGGACGAAGAAGGCUAGGUGAGCCAGGCGUUGGUUGUCCUGGUGAAAGCAUGUAGGCCGAGGAAUCAGGCAAAUCCGGUUCCUCUGAGGUCGAGAUGCGAGACGAACUGACCACGGUCAGGAAGUCAUCGAUGCCACGCUUCCAGGAAAAGCCUCUAAGCUUCAGAUCACAUGCGACCGUACCCCAAACCGACACAGGUGGUCAGGUAGAGAAUACCAAGGCGCUUGAGAGAACUCGGGUGAAGGAACUAGGCAAAAUGGCACCGUAACUUCGGGAGAAGGUGCACCGGUUCGAGUGAAGGACUUGCUCCGUAAGCUCUUACCGGUCGAAGAUACCAGGUGGCUGCAACUGUUUAUUAAAAACACAGCACUCUGCAAACGCGCAAGCGGACGUAUAGGGUGUGACGCCUGCCCGGUGCCGGAAGGUUAAUUGAUGGGGUUAGGAUUCGUCCGAAGCUCUUGAUCGAAGCCCCGGUAAACGGCGGCCGUAACAAUAACGGUCCUAAGGUAGCGAAAUUCCUUGUCGGG